This 278-nucleotide ribosomal RNA is filed under the name uncultured Staphylococcus sp. RNAcentral describes it as "partial 16S ribosomal RNA". It matches the Rfam family "Bacterial small subunit ribosomal RNA", at positions 83 to 355 of the family's 1533-position model. The record is from RNAcentral. Lineage: Bacteria; Bacillati; Bacillota; Bacilli; Caryophanales; Staphylococcaceae.
CCUUUGACGUUAGCGGCGGACGGGUGAGUAACACGUGGGUAACCUACCUAUAAGACUGGGAUAACUUCGGGAAACCGGAGCUAAUACCGGAUAAUAUUUCGAACCGCAUGGUUCGAUAGUGAAAGAUGGUUUUGCUAUCACUUAUAGAUGGACCCGCGCCGUAUUAGCUAGUUGGUAAGGUAACGGCUUACAAAGGCGACGAUACGUAGCCGACCUGAGAGGGUGAUCGGCCACAUGGAACUGAGACACGGUCCAGACUCCUACGGGAGGCAGCAGCU